This 162-nucleotide ribosomal RNA is filed under the name uncultured bacterium. RNAcentral's name for it is "partial 16S rRNA". It matches the Rfam family "Bacterial small subunit ribosomal RNA", at positions 358 to 511 of the family's 1533-position model. The record is from RNAcentral.
GGAAUCUUCCACAAUGGGCGCAAGCCUGAUGGAGCAACACCGCGUGAGUGAAGAAGGGUUUCGGCUCGUAAAGCUCUGUUGUUAAAGAAGAACACGUAUGAGAGUAACUGUUCAUACGUUGACGGUAUUUAACCAGAAAGUCACGGCUAACUACGUGUCCAG